This 319-nucleotide ribosomal RNA is filed under the name uncultured eukaryote. RNAcentral describes it as "partial 18S ribosomal RNA". It matches the Rfam family "Eukaryotic small subunit ribosomal RNA", at positions 1470 to 1796 of the family's 1831-position model. The record is from RNAcentral.
CCCUUAGAUGUUCUGGGCAGCACGCGCGCUACAAUGGUCUUAGCAAACGGAUGCAUUCUCGAAGGAGAAUGCCAAUCUUGGAAUCUAUGCCUUGGUCGGGACAGUUGCUUGCAAUUUUUCGACUCGAACCAGGAAUUCCUUGUAAUCGUGAUUCAUCACAUCACGAUGAAUACGUCCCUGCCCUUUGUACACACCGCCCGUCGCUCCUACCGAUCGAAGAGUUAGGUGAAUUGUUUUGAUCGAUAAGAUUUGACUAUGGUCAACUCUCGUUGUGAAAUUCUGUGAAUCUGACUGUUUAGAGGAAGGAAAAGUCGUAACA